UAGGGAAUCUUCGGCAAUGGACGAAAGUCUGACCGAGCAACGCCGCGUGAGUGAAGAAGGUUUUCGGUUCGUAAAACUCUGUUGUUAGAGAAGAACAAGGACGUUAGUAACUGAACGUCCCCUGACGGUAUCUAACCAGAAAGCCACGGCUAACUACGUGCCAGCAGCCGCGGUAAUACGUAGGUGGCAAGCGUUGUCCGGAUUUAUUGGGCGUAAAGCGAGCGCAGGCGGUUUCUUAAGUCUGAUGUGAAAGCCCCCGGCUCAACCGGGGAGGGUCAUUGGAAACUGGGAGACUUGAGUGCAGAAGAGGAGAGUGGAAUUCCAUGUGUAGCGGUGAAAUGCGUAGAUAUAUGGAGGAACACCAGUGGCGAAGGCGGCUCUCUGGUCUGUAACUGACGCUGAGGCUCGAGAGCGUGGGGAGCAAACAGG
This 429-nucleotide ribosomal RNA is filed under the name Gemmatimonadota bacterium. RNAcentral's name for it is "Gemmatimonadetes bacterium partial 16S ribosomal RNA". It matches the Rfam family "Bacterial small subunit ribosomal RNA", at positions 355 to 776 of the family's 1533-position model. The record is from RNAcentral. Lineage: Bacteria; Pseudomonadati; Gemmatimonadota.